GAUGAGGAACGUAGCGAAAUGCGAUAAGUAAUGUGAAUUGCAGAAUUCAGUGAAUCAUCGAAUCUUUGAACGCACAUUGCGCCCGCCAGUAUUCUGGCGGGCAUGCCUGUUCGAGCGUCAUUACAACCCUCAGGCCCCCGGGCCUGGCGUUGGGGAUCGGCGGAGCCCCCCGUGGGCACACGCCGUCCCCCAAAUACAGUGGCGGUCCCGCCGCAGCUUCCAUCGCGUAGUAGCUAACACCUCGCGACUGGAGAGCGGCGCGGCCACGCCGUAAAACACCCAACUCUUCUGAAGUUGACCUCGAAUCAGGUAGGAAUACCCGCUGAACUUAAGCAUAUCAAUAAGCGGAGGA
RNAcentral lists this unclassified non-coding RNA (352 nucleotides) under soil metagenome. RNAcentral's name for it is "partial contains 5.8S ribosomal RNA, internal transcribed spacer 2, and large subunit ribosomal RNA". The stretch from base 1 to 120 matches the Rfam family "5.8S ribosomal RNA", at positions 35 to 154 of the family's 154-position model. The record is from RNAcentral.